RNAcentral lists this ribosomal RNA (497 nucleotides) under uncultured bacterium. RNAcentral describes it as "partial 16S ribosomal RNA". It matches the Rfam family "Bacterial small subunit ribosomal RNA", at positions 28 to 507 of the family's 1533-position model. The record is from RNAcentral.
GAUGAACGCUGGCGGCGUGCCUAAUACAUGCAAGUCGAGCGAACAGACGAGGAGCUUGCUCCUCUGACGUUAGCGGCGGACGGGUGAGUAACACGUGGAUAACCUACCUAUAAGACUGGGAUAACUUCGGGAAACCGGAGCUAAUACCGGAUAAUUUAUUGAAUCGCAUGGUUCAAUAGUGAAAGACGGUUUUGCUGUCACUUAUAGAUGGAUCCGCGCCGCAUUAGCUAGUUGGUAAGGUAACGGCUUACCAAGGCAACGAUGCGUAGCCGACCUGAGAGGGUGAUCGGCCACACUGGAACUGAGACACGGUCCAGACUCCUACGGGAGGCAGCAGUAGGGAAUCUUCCGCAAUGGGCGAAAGCUUGACGGAGCAACGCCGCGUGAGUGAUGAAGGUCUUCGGAUCGUAAAACUCUGUUAUUAGGGAAGAACAAAUGUGUAAGUAACUAUGCACGUCUUGACGGUACCUAUUCAGAAAGCCACGGCUAACUACGUG